AUCCAGAUGACGAGUCCCGAAUAGGACGAAAUGCGUUUUAUCCUGGAU
Molecule: non-coding RNA, 48 nt
Filed under: Trichobilharzia regenti
Lineage: Eukaryota; Metazoa; Platyhelminthes; Trematoda; Strigeidida; Schistosomatidae
Source: RNAcentral